CUGGCUCAGGAUGAACGCUAGCUACAGGCUAACACAUGCAAGUCAGGGGCAGCAUGAUCGAAGCUUGCUUGAUCGAUGGCGACCGGCGCACGGGUGAGUAACGCGUAUCCAACCUUCCCUAUAGUAGAGGAUAGCCCGGCGAAAGUCGGAUUAAUACUCUAUGUUUUCCAAUGCAGACAUCUAAGUUGGAACAAAGGUUCACCGCUAUAGGAUGGGGAUGCGUCUGAUUAGGUUGUUGGCGGGUAACGGCCCACCAAGCCUACGAUCAGUAGGGGUUCUGAGAGGAAGGUCCCCCACAUUGGAACUGAGACACGGUCCAAACUCCUACGGGAGGCAGCAGUGAGGAAUAUUGGUCAAUGGGCGAGAGCCUGAACCAGCCCAAGUAGCGUGCAGGAAGACGGCCCUUAUGGGUUGUAAACUGCUUUUAUACGGGGAUAAAGUGAGGGUACGUGUCCCUUUUUGUAGGUACCGUAUGAAUAAGGACCGGCUAAUUCCGUGCCAGCCGCCGC
RNAcentral lists this ribosomal RNA (509 nucleotides) under uncultured bacterium. RNAcentral's name for it is "bacterial SSU rRNA". It matches the Rfam family "Bacterial small subunit ribosomal RNA", at positions 19 to 518 of the family's 1533-position model. The record is from RNAcentral.